RNAcentral lists this ribosomal RNA (550 nucleotides) under Limnonectes doriae (Doria's frog). RNAcentral describes it as "partial 16S ribosomal RNA". It matches the Rfam family "Bacterial large subunit ribosomal RNA", at positions 1817 to 2597 of the family's 2925-position model. Lineage: Eukaryota; Metazoa; Chordata; Amphibia; Anura; Dicroglossidae. The record is from RNAcentral.
CGCCUCUUGAAUCUCAUAAGAGGUCCAGCCUGCCCAGUGACAUAAUUAAACGGCCGCGGUACCCUGACCGUGCGAAGGUAGCAUAAUCACUUGUUCUCUAAAUAAGGACUCGUAUCAACGGCAUCACGAGGGUUAUACUGUCUCCUCUUUUUAAUCAGUGAAACUGACUUUCCCGUGAAGAGGCGGGAAUAAAAAUACAAGACGAGAAGACCCCAUGGAGCUUUAAACCCAAUAGUAACCUCUAUUUACUACUACUACUUAAUUAAGAAGGUCUGUCUACUGGUUUUAGGUUGGGGUGACCCUGGAGUAAAACUUAGCCUCCAUGACGAAUAGAACUUAUUCUAAUCCCAGAGCUACCGCUCUACGAAUCAAAAUUUUGACGUAAACUGAUCCGCCUAGCGAUCAACGAACCAAGUUACCCUGGGGAUAACAGCGCAAUCCAUUUCAAGAGCCCCUAUCGACAAAUGGGUUUACGACCUCGAUGUUGGAUCAGGGUAUCCCAGUGGUGCAGCCGCUACUAAAGGUUUGUUUGUUCAACAAUUAAAACCCU